RNAcentral lists this ribosomal RNA (253 nucleotides) under uncultured bacterium. Its description in RNAcentral is "partial 16S ribosomal RNA". It matches the Rfam family "Bacterial small subunit ribosomal RNA", at positions 524 to 776 of the family's 1533-position model. The record is from RNAcentral.
UACGUAGGGACCAAGCGUUGUUCGGAUUUACUGGGCGUAAAGGGCGCGUAGGCGGCUUAACAAGUCACUUGUGAAAUCUCCGGGCUUAACUCGGAACGGCCAAGUGAAACUGUCAAGCUAGAGUGCAGAAGGGGCAAUCGGAAUUCUUGGUGUAGCGGUGAAAUGCGCAGAUAUCAGGAAGAACACCCGUGGCGAAGGCGGCUCUCUGGAACGCAACUGACGCUGAGACGCGAAAGCGUGGGGAGCAAACAGG